This 253-nucleotide ribosomal RNA is filed under the name uncultured bacterium. RNAcentral describes it as "partial 16S ribosomal RNA". It matches the Rfam family "Bacterial small subunit ribosomal RNA", at positions 524 to 776 of the family's 1533-position model. The record is from RNAcentral.
UACGGAGGAUGCAAGCGUUAUCCGGAUUCAUUGGGUUUAAAGGGUGCGCAGGCGGGCUAAUAAGUCAGGGGUGAAAUACUACGGCUCAACCGUGGAACUGCCUUUGAUACUGUUAGUCUUGAGUUUAAUUGAAGUGGGCGGAAUGUAGCAUGUAGCGGUGAAAUGCAUAGAGAUGCUACAGAACACCGAUAGCGAAGGCAGCUCACUAAGUUACAACUGACGCUCAUGCACGAAAGCGUGGGGAUCAAACAGG